CCUGGCUCAGAUUGAACGCUGGCGGCAUGCCUAACACAUGCAAGUCGAACGGCAACACGGUCUAGCUUGCUAGACUGGUGGCGAGUGGCGAACGGGUGAGUAACGCGUAGGAAUAUACCUUAAAGAGUGGGACAACUUGGGGAAACUCAAGCUAAUACCGCAUAUUAUCUGAGGAUAAAAGCUGGGGACCUUCGGGCCUGGCGCUUUAAGAUUAGCCU
Molecule: ribosomal RNA, 218 nt
Filed under: uncultured bacterium
Lineage: Bacteria
Description: partial 16S ribosomal RNA
Rfam family: Bacterial small subunit ribosomal RNA
Source: RNAcentral